RNAcentral lists this ribosomal RNA (492 nucleotides) under uncultured bacterium. Its description in RNAcentral is "partial 16S ribosomal RNA". It matches the Rfam family "Bacterial small subunit ribosomal RNA", at positions 29 to 507 of the family's 1533-position model. The record is from RNAcentral.
AGUGAACGCUGGCGGUAGGCCUAACACAUGCAAGUCGAACGGCAGCACAGUAAGAGCUUGCUCUUACGGGUGGCGAGUGGCGGACGGGUGAGGAAUACAUCGGAAUCUACUUUUUCGUGGGGGAUAACGUAGGGAAACUUACGCUAAUACCGCAUACGACCUACGGGUGAAAGCAGGGGAUCUUCGGACCUUGCGCGAUUGAAUGAGCCGAUGUCGGAUUAGUUAGUUGGCGGGGUAAAGGCCAACCAAGGCGACGGUCCGUAGCUGGUCUGAGAGGAUGAUCAGCCACACUGGAACUGAGACACGGUCCAGACUCCUACGGGAGGCAGCAGUGGGGAAUAUUGGACAAUGGGCGCAAGCCUGAUCCAGCCAUACCGCGUGGGUGAAGAAGGCCUUCGGGUUUUAAAGCCCUUUUGUUGGGAAAGAAAAGCAGCAGGUUAAUACCCCGCUGUUCUGACGGUACCCAAAGAAUAAGCACCGGCUAACUUCGUG